AUGAAUAAGUUCAGAAGAACACUCGAAUUGGAUGCUAUCUGUAACAUAUGCGGCUGUAGUGAGGAGGAUGAGUUUCAUGAUGUAGUAGAGUGCACAAAAAGUAGAGCUUUGAGAGCAGCCCUUAGAGAAAAUUGGGAUCUCCGCCCUGAUCACACAUUUUGCUGAACUAGCCCUGACUGGCUUCAGUUGCUAUUGUGUCCGGAAUCUGAGGAAAUAAGAGCCAGGAUUCUCAGGAUGCUCUGGAGGUGCUGGCAUCUAGGUGAUGAUAUUGUGCAUGGGAAUGGAAAGGAGCCUGUUAAAAAAAUAUGUUCUUUUCCUGCUGUAGUACGAGGAAGAGAUGGAGAAGGCUCCCUUGUCGCCAGAUGGUGGGAAGAACCCAUGGCAUGCUGCUACUAA
RNAcentral lists this ribosomal RNA (396 nucleotides) under Triticum aestivum (bread wheat). RNAcentral describes it as "partial small subunit ribosomal RNA". Lineage: Eukaryota; Viridiplantae; Streptophyta; Magnoliopsida; Poales; Poaceae. The record is from RNAcentral.